Molecule: non-coding RNA, 424 nt
Organism: Ochotona curzoniae (black-lipped pika)
Lineage: Eukaryota; Metazoa; Chordata; Mammalia; Lagomorpha; Ochotonidae
Source: the annotation of a RefSeq genome assembly
CUUGUGCAGGAGUCAGUGCCAGUCAAGACACAGCAUGGACAUGAGGGUGCCUGCUCAGCUCCUGGGGCUCCUGCUGCUCUGGUUCCCAGGUGACAGAUGUUCCGGCCAAGUGACCCAGAGUCCAUCCGUGGUGUCUGCACCUGUGGGAGGCACAGUCACCAUCAAUUGCCAGUCAAGUCAGAGUGUUUACGAGAACAAUUAUCUAGACUGGUUUCAGCAGAAACCAGGGCAACGUCCAAAGCUCCUGAUCUAUGAGGCAUCCAAAUUAGCAUCUGGGGUCCCCUCGAGGUUCAAGGGCAGUGGCUCUGGGACAUCAUUCACUCUCACCAUCAGUGGGGUGCAGGCUGACAAUGCAGGAACCUACUACUGUCAAGGAGCUUAUGGUACUAGUGGUAGUUACACUCACACAGUGAUACAAGCCUGA